This is an RNA transcript of Gambusia affinis (western mosquitofish), 2571 nucleotides long. It is a transcript of the gene named synaptotagmin VIII, with no coding region annotated. The transcript has 11 exons. NCBI's taxonomy places the organism in Eukaryota, Metazoa, Chordata, Actinopteri, Cyprinodontiformes, Poeciliidae. The record is from RefSeq and is a predicted model, not a curated record.
CUCAGCAGAGCAUUGAUACUUUUAUUAACAGUCUGAAUUCAUAAAGUAAUCCAACAAAAUCCCACAAGCGGCUGCCUCAGGGUUAGAGACAUCACAAACAGUUGUCAGGAAAAAUGAAGAUGUUGACUUAUCUAUGAAACUCAGAAACCUCUUCAAAAUGCCUCCAGUCCAUCACCCAUCAAGAUCUUCAAUUCGGGGACAUAGAACAUCAAAAUCAAGGGAUCAAAUGAAAGCUGGAUCGUCAAAGCUAAUAGUCACCAGUCAACCCAUCCACAUGGUCUCCACCAUGUCUACCCACAAUGCCUCAGUUCAUCCAGCUCCUGGUUCCUUUGAAGACCUGCUGGACCACAUUCCCUUGCCGCGAUGGGCAAUCUAUGCAAUCUUUGGAAUGGGAGGCCUCAUUAUUCUGCUUUGUUGCCUCUGCAUCUGCAUUAAAUGUUGCUGCAAAAAGAAGAAGAGACAGAAAAAGGAUCAGCAAAUCCUUUUCAAGGGGUUAGAUGGAAAAACAGCCACAGCUCUGGUUCAGCCAGAUAUGGAGGAUGUUGACUACGGUUCAGUCAAACAAUAUAGAGGAAAGCUGCUCUACUCUUUGGAGUACAACGCCACUUUAUCUGAGCUUACAGUGGGGAUCAAACAAGCUGAAAGCCUGAAGGCGAUGGAUUUAGGCAGGAGUUCUGAUCCAUAUGUCAAAGUCUACAUCCUCCCUGAUAAGGCCAAGAUCUUUGAGACGAAAGUGUUCAAAAACACAUUAAACCCCUUCUUCAAUGAGCAGUUCACCUUCCAGCUAUCUAAGCCCGCUCUUCAGAAGUCCACAGCCGUGAUGAAGGUGUUCGACUUCAACCGGUUCACCAAACAUGAGAUCAUCGGCGAACUCAGGGUCCAGCUCUGCAACAUUGACCAGAAUCACGUUAUUGAGGAGUGGCAGGACCUGGCAAAGCCCGCCAAGUUUGAGGAAGAGAACUUAGGGGAGAUCUGCUUCUCUCUGUGUUAUGUUCCAACAAGCAGCAAGCUCACCGUGGCGAUCCUGGAGGCCAAAGACCUAAAGAGCAUGGACCUGGGAGGAAGCUCAGAUCCAUAUGUGAAAGUACAGCUGACUUUGGACAAAAGGAAGUGGAAGAAAAGAACAACAUCUAUUAAAAAGAAAAGUCUGAACCCCUAUUUCAAUGAGUCUUUUACUUUUGAUGUGUCACUGGAUCAAAUACAGAGGGUGAACCUGGUGAUUUCAGUUUGGGACCACGAUGCCAUGAGCAGGAACGACAGCAUGGGAAAACUUUUCCUGGGCUGCGAUUCCACAGGAAAUCAGCUGAGGCACUGGGCCGACAUGUUGUCCAACCCGCGGCGACCGGUCGCUCAGUGGCACAACCUGCUGUCGGCUGAGCAGGUCAACGCCAGCCUGGGACUGAAAAAGAAAAUCCCUGUUCCCAGCAAAUUUAAAGAAAAUAAUUUGCUAAAAAAACAUUUUAAAUAGACAAGAAAGUAUUUUGAAAAAAAUAUUUUCUGGUGUAUCAGUAAUGUUGAUCACCCCUGCUGUAGGAUAUGUAUGUAGGACUCACAUUUGGGCAACAAAAUUUGAUCACAUUUAGAAUACCUCAGCAAUUUUGUAAUACUGUAUUUUAUCCAUGUAAAAAUAUCCCUGGUUACAUUCUCAGGCAAAAUCUGUGCAAACCAGAGUUUGGAUUUUGAUUUACACAAAGAAAAUCUCAUUUAAUAGUUCAUCAGGCCAAAUAAUGUGUCUGAGCAUGGAUUUUUGUAAAAUUCACCCAGAUUUACAAUUGAAUUCACAUUUUAAGCACUCAUGUCUCCUGAACAUUUUCACAUUUUAUGAAGGUACAGCCACAAACUUAAAUCUAUUUCAUUAUGGUUUUAUAUAACAGCAUGAUUGUAAAGAGAGAGCAAAAUGCAUUGUUUUCAAUUUUAUAUUUUUAGCUUUUAUAAAUAAAUAUAUGUAAAAAGUGUGUCAUACAUGUGUAUACGUUGUUGAAUCAUGUCUCAUGUCUUUAGAGUAUGUCCACCAUUAGUGUUUUGAAAAGAAUAUGGAGAAACGUCUGAUGCAGAUAUUAUGCAUAGUGCUGAUGCCAAACUGUUAGCUUUAUAUCUGUAAACAGCAGGAUAUCUCUCUCUAAUUGUGCCUCUAUGGACAGAUGGAACUCAGAGGAAGCUUAUUGUUGCUGAUUUAUGACUGAAAUAUUCUGUUGUUUUCAGCAAUACUUAUGUAACUUCAAGCUUGCCUUGCUUACUUAGAAAAAAAAUGUCCAGAUCAAUAUCAUUAAUGUUUCUCCCCUUUCCCGAAACAAUAGCUCAUCCUUAUUGUUUUUUACAGUCUGCAUUUGUAGAAUACAAUUUAAAUGUGUAUUUUUCAUAGCGCUGAGAAAUACCUCCUAUACCACUUGAUAUUUCUGGCUGCUGCCACAGUAAAUCAGGGUGUAACUCUCUUGAUUAUGAUCAGAUACAUCACCAUUAAGAGAAGUCAACUCCGAGUUUAUUCAUGUACCGGUACUCAAUCUGUUGGCCCUCCUUUCUAAAAUUGUAACAAAUUUUUUAAAUAUUUUUGAUAAUUAAAGUAUUAGGAAU